Molecule: ribosomal RNA, 2211 nt
Filed under: human gut metagenome
Description: bacterial LSU rRNA
Rfam family: Bacterial large subunit ribosomal RNA
Source: RNAcentral
UCAAGCGACUAAGUGCAUGUGGUGGAUGCCUUGGCGAUCACAGGCGAUGAAGGACGCGGCAGUCUGCGAAAAGCCCCGGGGAGCUGACAACGAGCUUUGAUCCGGGGAUCUCCGAAUGAGGGAACUCCAAGCUUUAGCUUGAUCCAUGCGUGAAUACAUAGCGCAUGGAGGCGAACGCGGCGAACUGAAACAUCUCAGUAGCUGCAGGAAAAGAAAUCAACCGAGAUUCCGGAAGUAGCGGCGAGCGAAACCGGAACAGCCUGAAUUCGAUAUUGAGAAGAACACUGGAAGAGUCUGGAAAGGCUCGCCAUAGUGGGUGAUAGCCCCGUACGGGACGUUCAUCUCAAGGUACUGAGGAUUCGAAAAGUAGGUCGGGGCACGUGAAACCCUGGCUGAACAUGGGGGGACCAUCCUCCAAGGCUAAAUACUCGUGAUCGACCGAUAGCGUACUAGUACUGUGAAGGAAAGGUUAAAAGAACCCCGGGAGGGGAGUGAAAUAGAUUCUGAAACCGCAUGCAUACAAACAGUAGGAGCCCUUCGGGGUGACUGCGUACCUUUUGCAUAAUGGGUCAGCGACUUAUGUUAUGUGGCAAGCCUAACCGACUAGGGGAGGCGCAGCGAAAGCGAGUCCGAACAGGGCGAUUCAGUCGCAUGGCAUAGACCCGAAACCAGAUGAGCUAACCAUGGCCAGGCUGAAGGUGUGGUAACACACACUGGAGGGCCGAACCUACUGGUGUUGCAAAACCAGAGGAUGAGCUGUGGUUAGGGGUGAAAGGCUUAACAAAUCUGGAGAUAGCUGGUUCUCCCCGAAAACUAUUGAGGUAGUGCCUUGCGCAUGAGCUUCUGGGGGUAGAGCACUGUUAUAGCUAGGGGGACAUGGCGUCUUACCAAACUAUGGCAAACUCCGAAUACCAGAAAGCUUCGCGCAGGAGACAGAGCACCGGGUGCUAACGUCCGGACUCAAAAGGGAAUCAACCCAGACCGCCAGCUAAGGUCCCUAAUAUCAGCUAAGUGGAAAACGAAGUGGAAAGGCUAAAACAGUCAGGAAGUUGGCUUAGAAGCAGCCAUCCUUCAAAGAAAGCGUAAUAGCUCACUGAUCGAGUCCUUCCGCGCGGAAGAUGUAACGGGGCUAAGUUGAUAACCGAAGCUGCGGAUUCACACUUUGAGUGUGAGUGGUAGGGGAGCGUUCUGUAAGCCUGCGAAGGUGGAUCGUAAGGUCUGCUGGAGGUAUCAGAAGUGCGAAUGCUGACAUGAGUAACGAUAAAGCGGGUGAAAAGCCCGCUCGCCGCAAACCCAAGGUUUCCUGCUCUACGUUAAUCGGAGCAGGGUGAGUCGGUUCCUAAGGCCAGGCUGAGAAGCGUAGCUGAUGGAAAUCAGGUUAAUAUUCCUGAACCGGCGUUGAAUGCGAUGGGGUGACGGAGCAGCCAGAGUGGACCGGGUGUUGGAUGUCCCGGCUUCCGAGCGAUGGGUGCCUGCAGGCAAAUCCGCAGGCGUAUACCCAGGACGAAGGAUCGGGUCUUCUUUUGAAGACGAAGCCACUGGAAGCGCUUCCAGGAAAAACCUCUAAGCUUCAGUUCAACGGCGACCGUACCGUAAACCGACACAGGUGGGUGAGCUGAAUAUGCUCAGGCGCUUGAGAGAACUCGGGAGAAGGAACUCGGCAAAUUGACACCGUAACUUCGGAAGAAGGUGUGCCUUUGUAGCUUGACGGGAGAGAAACCCGGAGGGCGAAGAGGUCUCAGAGAAUCGGUGGCUGUAACUGUUUACUAAAAACACAGCGCUCUGCAAAGAUGAAAGUCGACGUAUAGGGCGUGAUGCCUGCCCGGUGCUGGAAGAUUAAUUGAUGGGGUGCAAGCUCCUGAUCGAAGUCCCAGUAAACGGCGGCCGUAACUAUAACGGUCCUAAGGUAGCGAAAUUCCUUGUCGGGCAAGUUCCGACCUGCACGAAUGGCAUAAUAAUGGCCACACUGUCUCCUCCCGAGACUCAGUGAAAUUGAAAUGUUUGUGAUGAUGCAAUCUCCCCGCGGCUAGACGGAAAGACCCCAUGAACCUUAACUGUAGCUUUGCAUUGGACUUUGAACCGAUCUGUGUAGGAUAGGCGGGAGGCUUUGAAGAAUGGACGCCAGUUCAUUCGGAGCCGUCGUUGAAAUACCGCCCUGAUUUGUUUGAGGUUCUAACCUGGGCCAGUGAUCCUGGCUGGGGACCGUGCAUG